GGAGGUGAAAUGUCGCGGAACGG
Molecule: non-coding RNA, 23 nt
Filed under: Arabidopsis thaliana (thale cress)
Lineage: Eukaryota; Viridiplantae; Streptophyta; Magnoliopsida; Brassicales; Brassicaceae
Source: RNAcentral